CAGGCUUAACACAUGCAAGUCGAGGGGCAGCAUGGUCUUAGCUUGCUAAGACUGAUGGCGACCGGCGCACGGGUGAGUAACACGUAUCCAACCCGCCGUCUACUCUUGGACAGCCUUCUGAAAGGAAGAUUAAUACAAGAUGGCAUCAUGAGUCCGCAUGUUCACAUGAUUAAAGGUAUUCCGGUAGACGAUGGGGAUGCGUUCCAUUAGAUAGUAGGCGGGGUAACGGCCCACCUAGUCUUCGAUGGAUAGGGGUUCUGAGAGGAAGGUCCCCCACAUUGGAACUGAGACACGGUCCAAACUCCUACGGGAGGCAGCAGUGAGGAAUAUUGGUCAAUGGGCGAGAGCCUGAACCAGCCAAGUAGCGUGAAGGAUGACUGCCCUAUGGGUUGUAAACUUCUUUUAUAAAGGAAUAAAGUCGGGUAUGGAUACCCGUUUGCAUGUACUUUAUGAAUAAGGAUCGGCUAACUCCGUGCCAGCAGCCGCGGUAAUACGGAGGAUCCGAGCGUUAUCCGGAUUUAUUGGGUUUAAAGGGAGCGUAGAUGGAUGUUUAAGUCAGUUGUGAAAGUUUGCGGCUCAACCGUAAAAUUGCAGUUGAUACUGGAUAUCUUGAGUGCAGUUGAGGCAGGCGGAAUUCGUGGUGUAGCGGUGAAAUGCUUAGAUAUCACGAAGAACUCCGAUUGCGAAGGCAGCCUGCUAAGCUGCAACUGACAUUGAGGCUCGAAAGUGUGGGUAUCAAACAGGAUUAGAUACCCUGGUAGUCCACACGGUAAACGAUGAAUACUCGCUGUUUGCGAUAUACGGCAAGCGGCCAAGCGAAAGCGUUAAGUAUUCCACCUGGGGAGUACGCCGGCAACGGUGAAACUCAAAGGAAUUGACGGGGGCCCGCACAAGCGGAGGAACAUGUGGUUUAAUUCGAUGAUACGCGAGGAACCUUACCCGGGCUUAAAUUGCAGAUGAAUUACGGUGAAAGCCGUAAGCCGCAAGGCAUCUGUGAAGGUGCUGCAUGGUUGUCGUCAGCUCGUGCCGUGAGGUGUCGGCUUAAGUGCCAUAACGAGCGCAACCCUUGUUGUCAGUUACUAACAGGUUCCGCUGAGGACUCUGACAAGACUGCCAUCGUAAGAUGUGAGGAAGGUGGGGAUGACGUCAAAUCAGCACGGCCCUUACGUCCGGGGCUACACACGUGUUACAAUGGGGGGUACAGAGGGCCGCUACCACGCGAGUGGAUGCCAAUCCCAAAAACCUCUCUCAGUUCGGACUGGAGUCUGCAACCCGACUCCACGAAGCUGGAUUCGCUAGUAAUCGCGCAUCAGCCACGGCGCGGUGAAUACGUUCCCGGGCCUUGUACACACCGCCCGUCAAGCCAUGGGAGCCGGGGGUACCUGAAGUGCGUAACCGCGAGGAGCGCCCUAGGGUAAAACUGGUGACUGGGGCUAAGUCAUAACA
This 1446-nucleotide ribosomal RNA is filed under the name uncultured organism. Its description in RNAcentral is "16S ribosomal RNA". It matches the Rfam family "Bacterial small subunit ribosomal RNA". The record is from RNAcentral.